RNAcentral lists this ribosomal RNA (253 nucleotides) under uncultured bacterium. RNAcentral describes it as "partial 16S ribosomal RNA". It matches the Rfam family "Bacterial small subunit ribosomal RNA", at positions 524 to 776 of the family's 1533-position model. The record is from RNAcentral.
UACGUAGGGUGCAAGCGUUGUCCGGAAUUAUUGGGCGUAAAGAGCUCGUAGGCGGUUUGUCGCGUCUGCUGUGAAAACUCGGGGCUUAACCCCGGGCCUGCAGUGGGUACGGGCAGACUAGAGUGCGGUAGGGGAGACUGGAAUUCCUGGUGUAGCGGUGAAAUGCGCAGAUAUCAGGAGGAACACCGGUGGCGAAGGCGGGUCUCUGGGCCGUAACUGACGCUGAGAAGCGAAAGCGUGGGGAGCGAACAGG